UACGUAGGUGGCAAGCGUUGUCCGGAAUUAUUGGGCGUAAAGCGCGCGCAGGUGGUUUCUUAAGUCUGAUGUUAAAGCCCACGGCUCAACCGUGGAGGGUCAUUGGAAACUGGGGAACUUGAGUGCAGAAGAGGAAAGUGGAAUUCCAAGUGUAGCGGUGAAAUGCGUAGAGAUUUGGAGGAACACCAGUGGCGAAGGCGACUUUCUGGUCUGUAACUGACACUGAGGCGCGAAAGCGUGGGGAGCGAACAGG
This 253-nucleotide ribosomal RNA is filed under the name uncultured bacterium. Its description in RNAcentral is "partial 16S ribosomal RNA". It matches the Rfam family "Bacterial small subunit ribosomal RNA", at positions 524 to 776 of the family's 1533-position model. The record is from RNAcentral.